Molecule: ribosomal RNA, 274 nt
Filed under: uncultured bacterium
Lineage: Bacteria
Description: partial 16S ribosomal RNA
Rfam family: Bacterial small subunit ribosomal RNA
Source: RNAcentral
AUACGGAGGGUGCAAGCGUUGUUCGGAAUCACUGGGCGUAAAGGGCGCGCAGGCGGUUUGGUAAGUCAGAUGUGAAAACCCACGGCUCAACCGUGGAAGUGCAUUUGAAACUGUCAGACUUGAGUACUAGAGGGGAAAGUGGAAUUCCCGGUGUAGAGGUGAAAUUCGUAGAUAUCGGGAGGAAUACCGGUGGCGAAGGCGACUUUCUGGCUAGAUACUGACGCUGAGGCGCGAAAGCGUGGGGAGCAAACAGAAUUAGAAACCCCAGUAGUCC